AACGAACGCUGGCGGCAGGCUUAACACAUGCAAGUCGAGCGCCCCGCAAGGGGAGCGGCAGACGGGUGAGUAACGCGUGGGAACGUACCUUUUGGUUCGGAACAACUCCGGGAAACUGGAGCUAAUACCGGAUAAGCCCUAACGGGGAAAGAUUUAUCGCCGAAAGAUCGGCCCGCGUCUGAUUAGCUCGUUGGUGAGGUAACGGCUCACCAAGGCGACGAUCAGUAGCUGGUCUGAGAGGAUGAUCAGCCACACUGGGACUGAGACACGGCCCAGACCCCCACCGGGGGGAGGAGGGGGGAAUUAUGGACAAAGGGCGGAAGCCUGAUCCCGCCAUGCCGGGUGAGGUAUGAAGGCCUUUGGGGUUGAAAACCUCUUUUGCCCGGAAGAUAAUGACUGUACCGGAAGAAUAAGCCCCGGCUAACUUCGUG
RNAcentral lists this ribosomal RNA (431 nucleotides) under uncultured bacterium. Its description in RNAcentral is "partial 16S ribosomal RNA". It matches the Rfam family "Bacterial small subunit ribosomal RNA", at positions 29 to 507 of the family's 1533-position model. The record is from RNAcentral.